GAUGAACGCUAGCGGCAUGCCUUACACAUACAAGUCAAACGGUAACGGGUCCUUCGGGAUGCCGACGAGUGGCGAACGGGUGAGUAAUAUAUCGGAACGUGCCCAGUAGUGGGGGAUAACUGCUCGAAAGAGCAGCUAAUACCGCAUACGACCUGAGGGUGAAAGGGGGGGAUCGCAAGACCUUUCGCUAUUGGAGCGGCCGAUAUCAGAUUAGCUAGUUGGUGGGGUAAAGGCCUACCAAGGCAACGAUCUGUAGUUGGUCUGAGAGGACGACCAGCCACACUGGGACUGAGACACGGCCCAGACUCCUACGGGAGGCAGCAGUGGGGAAUUUUGGACAAUGGGCGCAAGCCUGAUCCAGCAAUGCCGCGUGCAGGAAGAAGGCCUUCGGGUUGUAAACUGCUUUUGUCAGGGAAGAAAUCUUCUGGGCUAAUACCCCGGGAGGAUGACGGUACCUGAAGAAUAAGCACCGGCUAACUACGUGCCAGCCGCCGCAGUAA
Molecule: ribosomal RNA, 500 nt
Filed under: uncultured bacterium
Lineage: Bacteria
Description: partial 16S ribosomal RNA
Rfam family: Bacterial small subunit ribosomal RNA
Source: RNAcentral